ACCCAAGGCUGUGUGUCCAAAGGCAACUGUACUGAAUACCGGAAAGCAUGUAUUUGUUUGCUAAAUUGCUCUCUUUCCACCAGUGAUAUCAAUUCUGAAAUACUUUUGAGAUCUUGACAAUAAUCAAAAGGUAGCCAGGUGCAUCGGGGAAAGCACUGACAUUGGAGUCAGACAGACUGAAGUUCAUAUCUGAUUCUGCUAUAUGACAACGUG
This 213-nucleotide long non-coding RNA is filed under the name Homo sapiens (human). RNAcentral describes it as "ZRANB2 divergent transcript". Lineage: Eukaryota; Metazoa; Chordata; Mammalia; Primates; Hominidae. The record is from RNAcentral.